Long non-coding RNA from Serinus canaria (Common canary), 872 nucleotides. RefSeq lists it as uncharacterized. NCBI's taxonomy places the organism in Eukaryota, Metazoa, Chordata, Aves, Passeriformes, Fringillidae. The transcript is spliced from 2 exons. The record is from RefSeq and is a predicted model, not a curated record.
GUAUUAUGUCAAAGCAGCAGCAAGAAGCCCCCUCCAGAACCCCUGUGGGGUGACAGCACACCAAUCCCACCGCCCAUGGGGACACACUUCCCUCUUCAAAAGGCAAGGAAAGCAGCUACUGAGGGUUUCAUCAGGAAGUGGUAACUACUUGAAUUGAGAAACAGAAGUUGACAACAGCAUCACCCAGAGCUCUGUGGCUUGGGCUGCAGCUGAGCUAACCCCAAACAGAUGCUCCAUGACCAAGCUAGAUGCCCUAUGGACAGAAGGUUGGACACUGGACACACAUCCACCAGCACCACCACUACCACAAAUGCCAUGCUGCUCCAGCAGAAGGCUUCACUACUACUGCUGCUUGCUCUUUGUACAAUUUGGCCUUGUCUUCAGCCAGGACCUCUGGCAGAAAAGUGCAUAUUCACUGAAAACAGUCAGAGAAGCGAUACAGUGGUCCAUCAAUAACACAACACCUCCAGCCCCUCUCCAAUAUCUGUAGGAGAGAUAUAGAUGACUACAAGUAUCAUAAACCUCUUGUACAAUAGCCACAUCUUCUUUUAAUUAAUUGUUUUGAUACCAAGCACAAAGGUGACAGACAACUGUAGACAUCAAACUGAGCUAUUGCUGUAGACAUCAAACUGAUUUAAUCUGGAGUUACUCCUAACUGGUCUCUGUCAAACUCAGUUCUAGGUCAGAAUUGUCUUCUUUUAACUACCCAGAAGUCUGUGAAAUACCCCCCUAAUGUGUCCAAUCCAACAAGCUCUCCUGAAGAUGGUGGUGCCUCUCUCCUGAAGAUGGUGGAGCUGCAAAGUCUGUGUGUAUUUCUUUCUCUAUGUUUGCACACAUAUAUAACAUGAUUUAAAUAAAAGGAAUAAUUAGGA